Molecule: ribosomal RNA, 464 nt
Filed under: uncultured bacterium
Lineage: Bacteria
Description: partial 16S ribosomal RNA
Rfam family: Bacterial small subunit ribosomal RNA
Source: RNAcentral
ACGAACGCUGGCGGCGUGCUUAACACAUGCCAGUCGAACGGAAAGGCCCUGCUUGCAGGGUACUCGAGUGGCGAACGGGUGAGUAACACGUGGGUGAUCUGCCCUGCACUUCGGGAUAAGCCUGGGAAACUGGGUCUAAUACCGGAUAGGAGCCAUUUUUAGUGUGAUGGUUGGAAAGUUUUUUCGGUGUAGGAUGAGCUCGCGGCCUAUCAGCUUGUUGGUGGGGUAAUGGCCUACCAAGGCGGCGACGGGUAGCCGGCCUGAGAGGGUGGACGGCCACACUGGGACUGAGAUACGGCCCAGACUCCUACGGGAGGCAGCAGUGGGGAAUAUUGCACAAUGGGCGCAAGCCUGAUGCAGCGACGCCGCGUGGGGGAUGACGGCCUUCGGGUUGUAAACUCCUUUCGCUAGGGACGAAGCUUUUUGUGACGGUACCUAGAUAAGAAGCACCGGCUAACUACGUG